GGCUAACGCUGGCGGCGCGCCUAACACAUGAAAGUCGAACGAACCCUUCGGGGUUAGUGGCAGACGGGUGAGUAACGCGUGGAUCAUGUGCCUCUUUGCUGGGGAUACCGUUUCGAAAGGAACCUUAAUACCGCAUGUGCCUGUUAGGCGUCAUCCUCGAGCAAGUAAACUGUUAGGGUAGAGAGAGCAUUCCGAGUUCUAUCAGCUAGUUGGUGAGGUAACGGCUUACCAUGCCUACGAACGAAAACUGGUCUGGGUGCAUGAUCAGUCACACUGGAACCGAGACACGGUUCUGACUCCGACGGGAGAAUGCAGUGAGGAAUCUUGCACGUCGGGGGUAAUCCUGAUGCAGCGACGCCGUGUGAUUUAUGAAGUCCUUCGGGUGGUAAACCUCUGUGAAUAGGGAAGAAGAAUGACGGUACCUACUGAGGAAGGUUCGGCUAACUACGUG
RNAcentral lists this ribosomal RNA (451 nucleotides) under uncultured bacterium. RNAcentral's name for it is "partial 16S ribosomal RNA". It matches the Rfam family "Bacterial small subunit ribosomal RNA", at positions 28 to 507 of the family's 1533-position model. The record is from RNAcentral.